Molecule: ribosomal RNA, 253 nt
Filed under: uncultured bacterium
Lineage: Bacteria
Description: partial 16S ribosomal RNA
Rfam family: Bacterial small subunit ribosomal RNA
Source: RNAcentral
UACGUAGGGGGCAAGCGUUGUCCGGAUUUAUUGGGCGUAAAGAGCGUGUAGGCGGCCAUACAGGUCCGUUGUGAAAACUCGAGGCUCAACCUCGAGACGUCGAUGGAAACCAUCUGGCUAGAGUCCGGAAGAGGAGAGUGGAAUUCCUGGUGUAGCGGUGAAAUGCGCAGAUAUCAGGAAGAACACCCGUGGCGAAGGCGGCUUCUUGGGCCGUUUCUGACGCUGAGGCGCGAAAGCCAGGGGAGCGAACGGG